AUUAGGAAUCUUGCGCAAUGGGCGAAAGCCUGACGCAGCGACGCCGCGUGGAGGAAGAAGUCUCUCGGGAUGUAAACUCCUUUUGUUCGGGACGAAGAAUGUGACGGUACCGAACGAAUAAGCCCCGGCUAACUACGUGCCAGCAGCCGCGGUAAUACGUAGGGGGCGAGCGUUGUCCGAAGUUACUGGGCGUAAAGCGCGCGUAGGCGGGCUGUUAAGUCGGAAGUGAAAGGCUGGGGCUCAACUCCAGCAGUGCUUCCGAUACUGGCAGUCUUGAGGGCGGUAGGGAGAAGUGGAAUGGCUGGUGUAGCGGUGAAAUGCGUAGAUAUCAGUCGGAACACCGGUGGCGAAGGCGGCUUCUUGGGCCGUUCCUGACGCUGAGGCGCGAAAGCCAGGGGAGCGAACGGGAUUAGAUACCCCAGUAGUCC
This 428-nucleotide ribosomal RNA is filed under the name uncultured bacterium. Its description in RNAcentral is "bacterial SSU rRNA". It matches the Rfam family "Bacterial small subunit ribosomal RNA", at positions 354 to 796 of the family's 1533-position model. The record is from RNAcentral.